CUUCUUUCUUACUUGCUGGUUUUCUGUGCACUCAGAUGUCUUUCUGUUGUCUGUUUCCUAGAGGGAAGUUUUAAUAUGCAGCUCUUUAUCUACCAUGGGAAUGGUAUGGUCUGGGAAGGAAGGAGCAAUCCCUGCACAAUCCUGAUUGUCACAUGUACAGAGGGGCUGUUGUAAAUUGUUGUAAAAUCUCAAAUGAAAGCCAGGAGCAAAUAGGAAAUACAACCCUUGGACGUCUUUGCAUUUACGUGAGUGUUAGGGAGAUCUCUAAAGGGAUUCAUAACACCAUGUUUGUCCUGGCUCCCAAUGAAACACAUUGUUUCAAAGUUUUGCAGUCUGAGUAACAUUGGCAUUUCAGAAAUGAGGCAGGUUUUAAAGCGUCAGCAAAACUGUCCCUGGGCCAUUUAUUAGAGAUGACUUAACCAUCCAAAAUGUUGGAGAGAAAGUUGUGUGCAGCAAUUAGAGAUUAGAUUGACAUGAAUGAAGGGUACUCUCAGAACUGCUUCCGAUAUUUACAAUUUUAUCACAAUCAAUAUGUCAUAUGCACAAACACCAUGUAGGAAAGGCUGAAGGCAUGCCCAUUUUACAGAGAAGCUAUAAAGAAGUGUCGCAGAAAAACUCUGGAGGUCACUGAAGACUCUUGUAGUAGCCUUUCUAACAGAAUGAUUUCAACAAAGACUCGUGUCUUUGAAGAGUAAUAUCAAAUGUGUUACCCAUCUGAGCAAGAAGCAGAUGUCCUCAAAUGGAAGCAAGAAAGACCACUUGUGUGAAACAGAGGCAGAUGAAAUGAAGAUGCAAAAGACAAGAUAUGAGUCAACUCUGAGAUUGUGGCCAGACUGCAGGCUAUCUAUCUAUGCAGCCUUGGAACACCUUAGUGCAACCUGCCCUCCUUCUGUCCUAUUUAGACUGAAAACCAAUGCAAAGGAAUGACUUGUAGGUUUACCGAAAAGGACUGAAGUGAUUACUGGUUCUGCUGAGGCAUGUUUGAGAAAUUUAUUCUGUCUAAUGUGGCAGGGAGAGUUCGUCUUUCCAAACCACUUGGGAGUCGAUCUGCACUGGAUACACACAUUAGAGGACUUUGAAAGAUCUGUGAAGUA
Molecule: long non-coding RNA, 1094 nt
Filed under: Pogona vitticeps (central bearded dragon)
Lineage: Eukaryota; Metazoa; Chordata; Lepidosauria; Squamata; Agamidae
Description: lncRNA (ENSPVIG00000000908.1)
Source: RNAcentral